CAAUAGCGUAUAUUAAAGUUGUUGCAGUUAAAAAGCUCGUAGUUGGACCUUGGACCUGGACAGGCGGUCCGCCUCACGGCGUGUACUGUCUUGCUGGGUCUUUCCUCUUGGUGAUCUGUUGUUUCGGCAGCAGGGAACCAGGACUUUUACUUUGAAAAAAUUAGAGUGUUCAAAGCAGGCUCGACGCCGGAAUAUAUUAGCAUGGAAUAAUAAAAUAGGACGUGCGGUUCUAUUUUGUUGGUUUUUGGAAUCGCCGUAAUGAUUAAUAGGGACAGUCGGGGGCAUUAGUACUCACAUGCUAGAGGUGAAAUUCUUGGAUUUUGUGAAGACUAACUUCUGCGAAAGCAUUUGCCAAGGAUGUCUUCAUUAA
RNAcentral lists this ribosomal RNA (370 nucleotides) under uncultured eukaryote. Its description in RNAcentral is "partial 18S ribosomal RNA". It matches the Rfam family "Eukaryotic small subunit ribosomal RNA", at positions 592 to 976 of the family's 1831-position model. The record is from RNAcentral.